GAUGAACGCUGGCGGCGUGCCUAAUACAUGCAAGUCGAGCGAACAGACGAGGAGCUUGCUCCUCUGACGUUAGCGGCGGACGGGUGAGUAACACGUGGAUAACCUACCUAUAAGACUGGGAUAACUUCGGGAAACCGGAGCUAAUACCGGAUAAUAUAUUGAACCGCAUGGUUCAAUAGUGAAAGACGGUUUUGCUGUCACUUAUAGAUGGAUCCGCGCCGCAUUAGCUAGUUGGUAAGGUAACGGCUUACCAAGGCAACGAUGCGUAGCCGACCUGAGAGAGAGAUGGGGCAAAAGGGAACAGAGACACGGACAGGGCACCGAGGGGAGGCAGCAGCGGGGAAUAGGGGAGAAAGGUCGAAAGCCUGAACAAGCCAUGUCGAGGGGAUGAAGAAGUGUUUCGGAUUGUAAAACACUUUAAGUGGGGAAGAAGGAGAGGGAGAUAAUAACUUGCGGGCUAGACGUCACCAACAGAAUCAAAAACGGCUAACUUCGUC
RNAcentral lists this ribosomal RNA (497 nucleotides) under uncultured bacterium. RNAcentral describes it as "partial 16S ribosomal RNA". It matches the Rfam family "Bacterial small subunit ribosomal RNA", at positions 28 to 507 of the family's 1533-position model. The record is from RNAcentral.